UAGAGUUCAGUAAUAGGUGGCAUACCACAAUCAGCAGAAGUUCUAUCCAGAACGAAAACCUCCUGAACCACGGCGUUCAUAUGGUCCAGUGCGAUCGCGAUUGUAUCGAUCAGUUCCUGGACCUCCACGACUACCAGCAUCCCUGUUACGCCCACCAAACCGAUCUCCAUUUCGAUCAGGACCAUAACGACCCCCACCUCCACCACUGUACCUCUCCUCUCUGCCCCCAUAUCGGCC
Molecule: long non-coding RNA, 237 nt
Filed under: Jatropha curcas
Lineage: Eukaryota; Viridiplantae; Streptophyta; Magnoliopsida; Malpighiales; Euphorbiaceae
Description: long non-coding RNA (JCUR_LNC001323)
Source: RNAcentral